GACAUCCUCUUCAGCUAUGGAUGUCAGUCAUAAGGGUCUGAGGCACAGAGCUGCAGGAGUUUAAAAUAGCUGGCCCCAUUGCACAUUAUUUCUAGACCCAUUUAAUUCCUGGCAAGAAUAGCACUGACCCAGAUUUCUAAAUAAUGGGCUCCCAAGGGAAGUGUUGAUCAGUCUUUCCACAUGUACCCAUAACAUUCAUGGAUAAACCUGCUAGAACAGUGAAAAAGCAAAUGUCUGUGUUAGAGAGAUCCUGAAUGACUCUGACACCAGUAGGGAAGUUUCUGCAUGACCUAUGGUUGUGUCCCAAGUGGUCCAGAACAUCACUGGUGCUUCAAGCUGCUCCUGUGGUUUCUCUGCAAGUGUUUACCAAGAAACUGCAUUUUGAGAUGGAAAACCAAGUCCCCUUGGUCCCACACUCACCAGUUGUUAACUGUGGUCUGUGUGGCUGGUCCAAAAUAAAACAAUGUCUCCCCCAGUUCAGAUGGAAAUUAAUCUGAGAAAAACUGAAAGACUCUACUAUCCUUUGCAGAAAUUUUAAAUAAGUGAUUUAUCAGCAUUUUAUUUUCAGAUUUGAAAGACCUAAUAAGAACAAAAUUGAUCAUCAUGGGCAAAAAGUCCUUCAUAACAAUGUUUAAUCCAUUAACCAUAAAAUUUCUCUCACACCCCCUCUGUAAGAAAAAUCAAUAUAUCAUAUAAAGAAAUAAAGAAAUGCCAAAUGUCUGCA
This 724-nucleotide long non-coding RNA is filed under the name Parus major (Great Tit). RNAcentral describes it as "lncRNA (ENSPMJG00000002550.1)". The record is from RNAcentral. Lineage: Eukaryota; Metazoa; Chordata; Aves; Passeriformes; Paridae.